GAUGAACGCUGGCGGCGUGCCUAAUACAUGCAAGUCGAGCGAACGGACUAGAAGCUUGCUUCUCUGAUGUUAGCGGCGGACGGGUGAGUAACACGUGGAUAACCUACCUAUAAGACUGGGAUAACUUCGGGAAACCGGAGCUAAUACCGGAUAAUAUUUUGAACCGCAUGGUUCAAAAGUGAAAGACGGUCUUGCUGUCACUUAUAGAUGGAUCCGCGCUGCAUUAGCUAGUUGGUAAGGUAACGGCUUACCAAGGCAACGAUGCAUAGCCGACCUGAGAGGGUGAUCGGCCACACUGGAACUGAGACACGGUCCAGACUCCUACGGGAGGCAGCAGUAGGGAAUCUUCCGCAAUGGGCGAAAGCCUGACGGAGCAACGCCGCGUGAGUGAUGAAGGUCUUCGGAUCGUAAAACUCUGUUAUUAGGGAAGAACAUAUGUGUAAGUAACUGUGCACAUCUUGACGGUACCUAAUCAGAAAGCCACGGCUAACUACGUG
This 497-nucleotide ribosomal RNA is filed under the name uncultured bacterium. Its description in RNAcentral is "partial 16S ribosomal RNA". It matches the Rfam family "Bacterial small subunit ribosomal RNA", at positions 28 to 507 of the family's 1533-position model. The record is from RNAcentral.